RNAcentral lists this ribosomal RNA (253 nucleotides) under uncultured bacterium. RNAcentral describes it as "partial 16S ribosomal RNA". It matches the Rfam family "Bacterial small subunit ribosomal RNA", at positions 524 to 776 of the family's 1533-position model. The record is from RNAcentral.
UACGGAGGAGGCAAGCGUUAUCCGGAAUUAUUGGGCGUAAAGCGUCCGCAGGUGGCACUUCAAGUCUGUCGUCAAAGACUGGGGCUUAACCCCGGAAAGGCGGUGGAAACUGAAGCGCUAGAGUGCGGUAGGGGUAGAGGGAAUUCCCGGUGUAGCGGUGAAAUGCGUAGAGAUCGGGAAGAACAUCGGUGGCGAAAGCGCUCUACUGGACCGCAACUGACACUCAGGGACGAAAGCUAGGGGAGCGAAUAGG